CGGGAAAUAGCUCAGCUUGGUAGAGCGUCACGUUCGGGGCGUGAAGGCCGCAAGUUCGAAUCCUGUUUUCCCGA
RNAcentral lists this transfer RNA (74 nucleotides) under Companilactobacillus paralimentarius. RNAcentral's name for it is "tRNA-Pro". It matches the Rfam family "tRNA". Rfam says of the family: Transfer RNA (tRNA) molecules are approximately 80 nucleotides in length. Their secondary structure includes four short double-helical elements and three loops (D, anti-codon, and T loops). Lineage: Bacteria; Bacillati; Bacillota; Bacilli; Lactobacillales; Lactobacillaceae. The record is from RNAcentral.